UACGUAGGGGGCUAGCGUUGUCCGGAAUCAUUGGGCGUAAAGGGCUGGUAGGCGGCCAACUAAGUCGGAUGUGAAAUCCCCAGGCUUAACCUGGGAACUGCAUCCGAUACUGGUCGGCUUGAAUCCGGGAGAGGGAUGCAGAAUUCCAGGUGUAGCGGUGAAAUGCGUAGAUAUCUGGAGGAAUACCGGUGGCGAAGGCAGCUCGCUGGGACGGUACUGACGCUGAGGCGCGAAAGCGUGGGGAGCGAACAGG
Molecule: ribosomal RNA, 253 nt
Filed under: uncultured bacterium
Lineage: Bacteria
Description: partial 16S ribosomal RNA
Rfam family: Bacterial small subunit ribosomal RNA
Source: RNAcentral